Molecule: unclassified non-coding RNA, 393 nt
Filed under: uncultured fungus
Lineage: Eukaryota; Fungi
Description: sequence contains ITS2
Source: RNAcentral
AACGCAAAUUGCGCUUCUUGGAUAGGCCAGGAAGCAUGCCUCUUUGAGUAUCGUUUUCACCCCAGCUCGACUGCUUGAUUGUUUUGUAACAAAAACGGUCAUUUAUGUCGGAGAAUGAGUUUGUCUUGUCUGAAAUAGAUAAGUCACUUUAAAUGCUGUGAGUGUUUUAAUCGCUUUAUACUAUCAGUGUUGGUUAGUUAAUCUAAUCGCUUGAGUAGUAAUAUGGAUAAUCUCUAUUUAUAUUACAUCGCUUGAGUGAUCUAGACGACUAAUGUUAUCUGCAUUGGUGGUUGAUUAUAAUAUAACAUUCAGUGGAAAUUAAUCUAAUACUUAAUCGUAUUAAUACCUUUUGAAUUAGAUCUCAAAUGAAGCAAGACUACCCGCUGAACUUAA